AUAGCACACACCUUCAAGAAACCAACACUUCAAUAACAAUGGCUGUCAAAAUGAGCGCGGUUCGUAUGCUUGGAUUUCUGUUUUGUAUUUUUUUGUGUCUGCAGCGUAAUGAUGCUAACCCGAUUCCAGAUGCAGAUGAAAGUGACAGUUAUGUCGAAGAACACCCAGAAGAAUUCGGUGACCACUUCGAAGGAGACAUGAUCGUGUCUAACGUAAGAAACGCACUCACCCAGAAGUCAAAACGUUGGCCCGGUGGAAGAGUUUACUAC
Molecule: long non-coding RNA, 269 nt
Organism: Lineus longissimus
Lineage: Eukaryota; Metazoa; Nemertea; Pilidiophora; Heteronemertea; Lineidae
Exons: 3
Source: RefSeq, a predicted model, not a curated record